AACGCACCUUGCGCUCCCGGCAGAUCUAAUCUGGGGAGCAUGCCUGUUUGAGGGCCGCGAAUUGUUUCGAACGACAGCUUUCUUAUUUAGUUGAGAAAGCUGGCGGAUCGGUAUUGAGGGUCUUGCCAUCUUCCACGGUGGCUCCCUCGAAAUGCAUUAGCGCAUCCAUUCGAUAGGCAAGACGGACGAAAGCUCGUUAUUUCGCCCACGUCUUUCCCUGCCGGGUUUUGAUAAUAUCAGGACUUCGGAGAGGAGAGGCGCAGGGUCGAGGAGCUGGACGCGACGUUUUGCUGGUUGGAGUGCUUCUGAACCCCGCCCAUGCCUCGCUUCUUUGGAAGAGAGGAAGGGAUUUAAUUUCAAUUCAUCGGCCUCAGAUUGGUAGGACUACCCGCUGAACUUAA
RNAcentral lists this unclassified non-coding RNA (401 nucleotides) under uncultured fungus. RNAcentral describes it as "partial contains 5.8S ribosomal RNA, internal transcribed spacer 2, and large subunit ribosomal RNA". The record is from RNAcentral. Lineage: Eukaryota; Fungi.